GUCGAACGCUUCUUUUUCCACCGGAGCUUGCUCCACCGGAAAAAGAAGAGUGGCGAACGGGUGAGUAACACGUGGGUAACCUGCCCAUCAGAAGGGGAUAACACUUGGAAACAGGUGCUAAUACCGUAUAACAAUCAAAACCGCAUGGUUUUGAUUUGAAAGGCGCUUUCGGGUGUCGCUGAUGGAUGGACCCGCGGUGCAUUAGCUAGUUGGUGAGGUAACGGCUCACCAAGGCCACGAUGCAUAGCCGACCUGAGAGGGUGAUCGGCCACAUUGGGACUGAGACACGGCCCAAACUCCUACGGGAGGCAGCAGUAGGGAAUCUUCGGCAAUGGACGAAAGUCUGACCGAGCAACGCCGCGUGAGUGAAGAAGGUUUUCGGAUCGUAAAACUCUGUUGUUAGAGAAGAACAAGGAUGAGAGUAACUGUUCAUCCCUUGACGGUAUCUAACCAGAAAGCCACGGCUAACUACGUGCCAGCAGCCGCGGUAAUACGUAGGUGGCAAGCGUUGUCCGGAUUUAUUGGGCGUAAAGCGAGCGCAGGCGGUUUCUUAAGUCUGAUGUGAAAGCCCCCGGCUCAACCGGGGAGGGUCAUUGGAAACUGGGAGACUUGAGUGCAGAAGAGGAGAGUGGAAUUCCAUGUGUAGCGGUGAAAUGCGUAGAUAUAUGGAGGAACACCAGUGGCGAAGGCGGCUCUCUGGUCUGUAACUGACGCUGAGGCUCGAAAGCGUGGGGAGCAAACAGGAUUAGAUACCCUGGUAGUCCACGCCGUAAACGAUGAGUGCUAAGUGUUG
Molecule: ribosomal RNA, 793 nt
Filed under: uncultured bacterium
Lineage: Bacteria
Description: bacterial SSU rRNA
Rfam family: Bacterial small subunit ribosomal RNA
Source: RNAcentral